UUCCCGGAGCUGUGCUCGGAGAAAGCGUUGCCAUUGGCCAGCGGUGGUUGCCGCCCAGCCUGUCCCCCCAGGGCAGCAGCCAGGCAGGGGCCAUAUCUGCUUGGACUUACCGUCCCAAGUCUAAGGGAUUAGUGGCAAACGGAUGAGUGGACACAUGCUUACUGACCACCUACUAUGUACUGACCAGUCACCGUCCGAGGCUCUAGGGACACCCAGAUCUUGUCUCUUGGAAGAUUAUCUGCCAGAGCAGCUGAUUUUCAACCCUUUUCAUCUCGUGGCACAGAAAUGAGUUUCUAAAAUUCUGCGGCACUCCAAAAAUAUAUUACGUUUUUGUUGACCUGGCAACAACAAUAGGCACAAUUUUGAUUCAUUCACACCGGGCGGCUAUGACUGUGUUGGCUGUUGUCAUUUUUAAUUUCAUUUUAUUUAUUUUUUUGUUGUCAUUUUUUAAUUUGACAAUCCAAGGGGGAAAGAGGUCAGUGCCCCUGGCUAAAUGGUCAGGUAUCACAUGUUUUAAAACUUCUUGUGGGACACCGGGAGAAAGAUACGCACUAGUUUAAUAAUCACACAUGUUACUAUGCAAUCUUUUUUUUUAAUUUUUUCAAUCUAUAUAUAUCUGUAUUGAUUUCAGAGAGGAAGGGAGAAGAGAGAAACAUCAACGAUGAGAGAGAAUCAUGGAUCGGCUGCCUCCUGCUCGCCCCACACUGGGGAUGCGGUCCGAAACCCGGACAUGUGCCCUGACCGGGAAUAGACCUGUGACCUCCUGGUUCCUGGGUCAAAGCUUAACCACUGAGCCACACCUCCAGGCUUGCUGUGCCAUCUUGAACUGACGCAGGCUUUGAAGAAGAGGAUGUUAGGAGGCGGUGGUAGAGCCCAGCGGCUGGGCGAGCGGCACUGUGACCUGGUAGCGUGGGGACACGCGGCCCCAGGGGUAAGCCCGGGACUGACAUCGCACCUCCGCUGGCAGGGCGCCGGGAAAGGCGCAGACCCAGCCUGGCCACGCCAGCCGGUGACUGACAGGGUGUAUUAAGGGAAGCUCACCUCCCCGGCAUGUCUUGGGCAAGAGCAAGAUGAAAUGGAUCCCCCGGCCGCUUGGCAGGGGCCCAAGAAGUCUAUGGGGUGAACGGUGGGGGAAUCGUCACGGGGCGGGUACGUGAGUGCCACCAGGUGUAGGCAAUUCCUUCACGUGCCUGACCUGGGCAGGACAGCGACCCGUUCCAGGAAGCAGCACCCCGCGCGCGGUCGGGGAGGCACGGGAGGGGUGCUGCUGCAUGUCCGAGUGGAUGUCAGGCACGAUCAGGACGCCUGAGAGCAGGGCUCCCAGAAUGCCACCUCUGCCCCAUGGGGCCAGCUCCUGGGCCAGAGCGCGGCUGCGUCAUGGAACAGCCUCUCCGCCGCAGGCCGGGCCGCCCAGAAGUCACGCUGGGUGUGCUUCAGGCAGGACACAGGUGAGUGUUACCUGGUGGUUUUUCUCGGGGAGCCAAGCCUCCCUCGUACUCAUCCUGACCUCUGCCUGCGUCUAGCCAAAUCGGGUAGCCAUCUCCCAGGACUCCUCAGUCUAGGCAUGAAUUUGGACCCAAGUCAAGUCUGGGAGCCUCGAAGAAAGACUCCCAAGACUAUGAAGAAAGACGUGGAUCUCGGUCAGCACUUGGGACUCUGUGCUCAAGAGAGAAUGGAAGAGAUGGAUGGACACAGAUCGAUGCCUCAUGAUUUUCCUCCAGCACCUGGAUCCAGCCAUGCCUGAAGCCCAUAGGGACUCCUCGAAGGCUCAGCCACGGGCACCCGGGCUCAGGACCAGCAGGGCACGAGACCACAGAACCCCUCACUGUUACCUCGUUCCCCUCAUCAUGCCGGCUCUGUGUACUGUAAUGUUAACUAUUCGCUAUCCUUACCACCCAUGUGAAAGAAAUACGCGUUUCUCCACAGGUGAUCCAAUCCUGAAGAUUUCCCCACGUGGUUUUCUCCCGCCUCCUUACCCUACCGCCAAUGGGCGCCAUGUGUCUUCUUUAUGUUUUUCCUUCUGAUUCACAACGCAGAACUGUCAUUCUCUGGAGCAUUUUCUCAGUCUCCUGAGAUCUUACUUCUGGGUGUGUCCUCAAAAACUUGGCUCCAAUAAACUCUUUUUUUUUUUUUUUUUUUUUAGAAGAGAGAGAAAGAGAGAGAGAGAGGGAAAGACAGAGAAACAUCCAUGUGAGAGCAACACAUCAAUAGGUUGCCUCCUGCACACAGCUCCGACCAGGGCCCAGGCCAGGGCAGUGCCUGUCCUUGAUUGGAAUUGAACCCAGAACCCUUUGGUCCACAGGCCAAUGCUCUAUCCACUGAGCCAAACUGGCCAGGGCUCCAAUAAAUUCUUAUUAAACUUUUCUCCAUAGCUUAGAACUUAGAAAUAGUUUAGACAUAAGUUUUCCUCUGCAAGUAAUGCUUUUAUCAUUCCAACCGAGGUCAGAUAAAUGACCAAUGAAGGAACAAUCUCACUUGUAACAUUGAAAGCUUCACAUAUUUAUACACAUUGUAUUUAUUCAAAAUGUGCUUACAGGCACUUAGUGUGCAGAAUAGAAAUAUCACUCACACCCAUGUUUUAGUUACAAUAGGACAACCAGUUACCAGUGUAACAGCCAUUGCCUGACAUGAACGCUAAUGGGCAAAUUUUCUCUGAGCAAAGUGUACAGUUUCUUAAAGUAUGUUCCUGUUGUUUGUUGAAAUGUGACUUUACGUCGACUUCCAUAUUUUAAAAAAUGAACUUGCAUUUGUAUAUAUGUUUUGUCACGUCAUUUAUGAGGAAUUGAUCUUUACCCUCAUUCAGUGAGAUCUAUGCCUAAUGGAUUAGAAGCAGGUCCUGCAUCGCGGAGAGGAAGCAGCGCUGGUCUAUGGCUGGACUGCGCUCCUUGGGGGGCAUUUUACUCAAACUGGCCCGACGGUGGGCCUUCGGCAAUUAUUUAUUAAAUGAAG
Molecule: long non-coding RNA, 2949 nt
Organism: Myotis daubentonii (Daubenton's bat)
Lineage: Eukaryota; Metazoa; Chordata; Mammalia; Chiroptera; Vespertilionidae
Source: RefSeq, a predicted model, not a curated record